GAUGAACGCUGGCGGCGUGCCUAAUACAUGCAAGUCGAGCGAACAGACGAGGAGCUUGCUCCUCUGACGUUAGCGGCGGACGGGUGGGGAACACGUGGAUAACCUACCUAUAAGACUGGGAUAAAUUCGGGAAACCGGAGCUUAUACCGGAUAAUAUAUUGAACCGCAUGGUUCAAUAGUGAAAGACGGUUUUGCUGUCACUUAUAGAUGGAUCCGCGCCGCAUUAGCUAGUUGGUAAGGUAACGGCUUAACAAGGCAACGAUGCGUAGCCGACCUGAGAGGGUGAUCGGCCACACUGGAACUGAGACACGGUCCAGACUCCUACGGGAGGCAGCAGUAGGGAAUCUUCCGCAAUGGGCGAAAGCCUGACGGAGCAACGCCGCGUGAGUGAUGAAGGUCUUCGGAUCGUAAAACUCUGUUAUUAGGGAAGAACAAAUGUGUAAGUAACUAUGCACGUCUUGACGGUACCUAAUCAGAAAGCCACGGCUAACUACGUG
RNAcentral lists this ribosomal RNA (497 nucleotides) under uncultured bacterium. RNAcentral describes it as "partial 16S ribosomal RNA". It matches the Rfam family "Bacterial small subunit ribosomal RNA", at positions 28 to 507 of the family's 1533-position model. The record is from RNAcentral.